AGAGUUUGAUCCUGGCUCAGGAUGAACGCUGGCGGCGUGCUUAACACAUGCAAGUCGAACGAUCCUUCGGGAUAGUGGCGGACGGGUGAGUAACGCGUGGGAAUCUGCCCUCAGGAGGGGGAUAACGGCUGGAAACGGCCGCUAAUACCCCAUAUGCCGAGAGGUGAAAUGAAUUUCGCCUGAGGAUGAGCCCGCGUCUGAUUAGCUAGUUGGUGGGGUAAAGGCCUACCAAGGCAACGAUCAGUAGCUGGUCUGAGAGGAUGAUCAGCCACACUGGGACUGAGACACGGCCCAGACUCCUACGGGAGGCAGCAGUGGGGUAUUUUCCGCAAUGGGCGAAAGCCUGACGGAGCAACGCCGCGUGAGGGAUGAAGGCCUCUGGGCUGUAAACCUCUUUUCUCAAGGAAGAAGACCUGACGGUACUUGAGGAAUAAGCCACGGCUAAUUCCGUGCCAGCAGCCGCGGUAAUACGGGAGUGGCAAGCGUUAUCCGGAAUUAUUGGGCGUAAAGCGUCCGCAGGCGGCCUUGUAAGUCUGUUGUUAAAGCGUGGAGCUCAACUCCAUUUAAGCAAUGGAAACUACAAGGCUGGAGUGUGGUAGGGGCAGAGGGAAUUCCCGGUGUAGCGGUGAAAUGCGUAGAUAUCGGGAAGAACACCAGUGGCGAAGGCGCUCUGCUGGGCCAUAACUGACGCUCAUGGACGAAAGCCAGGGGAGCGAAAGGGAUUAGAUACCCCUGUAGUCCUGGCCGUAAACGAUGAACACUAGGUGUCGGGGGAAUCGACCCCCUCGGUGUCGUAGCCAACGCGUUAAGUGUUCCGCCUGGGGAGUACGCACGCAAGUGUGAAACUCAAAGGGAAUUGACGGGGGCCCGCACAAGCGGUGGAGUAUGUGGUUUAAUUCGAUGCAACGCGAAGAACCUUACCAGGGUUUGACAUCCUGCGAACCCCUGAGAAAUCGGGGGGUGCCUUCGGGAGCGCAGAGACAGGUGGUGCAUGGCUGUCGUCAGCUCGUGUCGUGAGAUGUUGGGUUAAGUCCCGCAACGAGCGCAACCCACGUCUUUAGUUGCCAGCGUUCAGUUGGGCACUCUAGAGAGACCGCCGGUGAUAAACCGGAGGAAGGUGUGGAUGACGUCAAGUCAUCAUGCCCCUUACAUCCUGGGCUACACACGUACUACAAUGCUACGGACAAAGGGCAGCAAGCUCGCGAGAGUUAGCAAAUCCCAUAAACCGUGGCUCAGUUCAGAUCGUAGGCUGCAACUCGCCUACGUGAAGGAGGAAUCGCUAGUAAUCGCAGGUCAGCAUACUGCGGUGAAUACGUUCCCGGGCCUUGUACACACCGCCCGUCACACCAUGGAAGUUGGCCAUGCCCGAAGUCGUUACUCCAACCCUUGUGGAGGAGGACGCCGAAGGU
This 1409-nucleotide ribosomal RNA is filed under the name metagenome. Its description in RNAcentral is "bacterial SSU rRNA". It matches the Rfam family "Bacterial small subunit ribosomal RNA". The record is from RNAcentral.